AGAAAUUUUAAUGAAAAUAUGUAUAAGAUCUUUAAAAUUGUUUAUAAAAAUAAUAUAUUAAGUAUGUAUAUUAAUAAAAUAUAUGUAUAUAAUUCAUCGGUUCGGUUCGGUUAUUUCUUCGAUUUUUUUCGAAUAAAAUCAUAACCAAACCAAAUACUAUCGGUUUUCAAAAAUCUAAAACCAAACCAAACCAAACCCAAAUAAAAUCGGUUUUAUUUUAUCGGUUUGGUUUGGUUUUUCGGUUUGGAUCGGUUUUUA
RNAcentral lists this long non-coding RNA (258 nucleotides) under Solanum tuberosum (potato). RNAcentral describes it as "long non-coding RNA (STUB_LNC001666)". The record is from RNAcentral. Lineage: Eukaryota; Viridiplantae; Streptophyta; Magnoliopsida; Solanales; Solanaceae.